AGCAGUCGCCGCGGUAAUACAGAGGGUGCGAGCGUUAAUCGGAUUUACUGGGCGUAAAGCGUGCGUAGGCGGCUUCUUAAGUCGGAUGUGAAAUCCCUGAGCUUAACUUAGGAAUUGCAUUCGAUACUGGGAAGCUAGAGUAUGGGAGAGGAUGGUAGAAUUCCAGGUGUAGCGGUGAAAUGCGUAGAGAUCUGGAGGAAUACCGAUGGCGAAGGCAGCCAUCUGGCCUAAUACUGACGCUGAGGUACGAAAGCAUGGGGAGCAAACAGGAUUAGAUACCCCUGUAGUCCCUGUCUCUUAUAU
This 303-nucleotide ribosomal RNA is filed under the name uncultured bacterium. RNAcentral describes it as "partial 16S ribosomal RNA". It matches the Rfam family "Bacterial small subunit ribosomal RNA", at positions 507 to 809 of the family's 1533-position model. The record is from RNAcentral.